Molecule: long non-coding RNA, 904 nt
Organism: Drosophila montana
Lineage: Eukaryota; Metazoa; Arthropoda; Insecta; Diptera; Drosophilidae
Exons: 3
Source: RefSeq, a predicted model, not a curated record
CGCCGGUAAGGAACUUCUCGGAGCCUCAAUAAACAGCGCUCCCAAAGCAAGGUGUCAAAUAGGAAUCGCAAAUCACAGCAUUUGGGUAAUGCUGGGGAGACGGCUAUCGCUAUUUGUGCGCACACUGAGGAUUUUUGAAGCAUGUGAAACUGUAGCAACUCCAAUGCAUACUUAUUCAGCAACUAUCCGACUGAUGGCAGCCAAACUUAUCUGGUGCUUUGCAGCUAUGGGCUCGCGCUGCAGAUGGACUGCUGCGCCUUUUCAAAUAGCCAAUCAAUAUCGCUGGUCAAGGAGUAUCUGGCCAAGCUGCAAGAAAUCGCCAAGUCUUGAGGCGCUCGAGUACUGCUUGCAGCGGAAACAUUGAACUGAGUCUCUUAAAAAUCGUCGGCUUCGGGUAAAAGGGGUCUGACCCAAUGAUUCUCGCCAACAAAAAUGAAGUUAAGCUGUGUACUUCAGAUUGAUAUGAGCAUUUCUACAGCGGCGAUUUCAGCAACAAACUGAUCAACUGCGCUGUUUAUGGAUGAUCCCUGUCCCGCUUCGCGCUCAUUACUAUUGACAAGCAACAGCUGCUAUCCCUUGUUGGUGUCGUUGAAUCCGACGAUGGUUCUGAUGAAAGCCUUUGGCUCAUGUCCAACAUGUACAUAAAUGACAUUUCCAGCAAUGCUUGGUCUUAUAUGCCUAAUCUGAAAACUCAAGAAGCAUAUAGGCCUCGUCGUCUAGCUCAAUAUCUCUGCCGUAAAUGCUAAAAAAAAAGAAUAUAAAUUCGUGAAAAUGAAUUCAUGGUUUUGUUCUAUAAAAGGUGUGUUUGGCUUAAGGAUUCCUCUGCUGUGGAUAAGUCUGACGCAAUUUUCAACAAAUUUCACAACUUAUUUUGAAAAUUGAUCUCUGCGCAAUGAAGAAGUUC